UACAGAGGUCCCGAGCGUUGUCCGGAAUUAUUGGGCGUAAAGGGCUCGUAGGCGGUUUGUCGCGUCGGGAGUGAAAACCUUGGGCUUAACUCAGGGCUUGCUUUCGAUACGGGCAGACUAGAGGUAUGCAGGGGAGAACGGAAUUCCUGGUGUAGCGGUGAAAUGCGCAGAUAUCAGGAGGAACACCGGUGGCGAAGGCGGUUCUCUGGGCAUGAUCUGACGCUGAGGAGCGAAAGUGUGGGGAGCGAACAGG
RNAcentral lists this ribosomal RNA (253 nucleotides) under uncultured bacterium. Its description in RNAcentral is "partial 16S ribosomal RNA". It matches the Rfam family "Bacterial small subunit ribosomal RNA", at positions 524 to 776 of the family's 1533-position model. The record is from RNAcentral.